Molecule: long non-coding RNA, 170 nt
Organism: Papaver somniferum (opium poppy)
Lineage: Eukaryota; Viridiplantae; Streptophyta; Magnoliopsida; Ranunculales; Papaveraceae
Exons: 3
Source: RefSeq, a predicted model, not a curated record
GUUACACUUACACCACCUCUAGAUCGAGAAGAAGAAGGAGAAAUUGUUAACCAAGGGGUUAUAUCACGCCAAGGAGAAGACGAAGGGAAAGGAUUCAAGGAACCAUCCAGCUCAGAAAUUGUUAAUCAAGGAGUUCCACUGGUUCUAUCAUAGCCACCACCAGUGCUGCC